This 98-nucleotide long non-coding RNA is filed under the name Panthera pardus (leopard). Its description in RNAcentral is "GNAS antisense RNA 1 conserved region 1 (ENSPPRG00000021615.1)". It matches the Rfam family "GNAS antisense RNA 1 conserved region 1". Lineage: Eukaryota; Metazoa; Chordata; Mammalia; Carnivora; Felidae. The record is from RNAcentral.
AGGGGCCGGCGGCUUCGGCAGCCUCGGGGAGGGGAGGCGGCGCACCGGCCAUUUUCGGCUCGGGUGGAGCUAAGUUUGGAAUCCGUAACCUGGAGGUG